RNAcentral lists this ribosomal RNA (498 nucleotides) under uncultured bacterium. Its description in RNAcentral is "partial 16S ribosomal RNA". It matches the Rfam family "Bacterial small subunit ribosomal RNA", at positions 30 to 523 of the family's 1533-position model. The record is from RNAcentral.
AUUGAACGCUGGCGGCAUGCCUUACACAUGCAAGUCGAACGGUAACGCGGGGCAACCUGGCGACGAGUGGCGAACGGGUGAGUAAUGUAUCGGAACGUGCCCAGUUGUGGGGGAUAACUGCUCGAAAGAGCAGCUAAUACCGCAUACGACCUGAGGGUGAAAGCGGGGGAUCGCAAGACCUCGCGCAAUUGGAGCGGCCGAUAUCAGAUUAGGUAGUUGGUGGGGUAAAGGCCUACCAAGCCUACGAUCUGUAGCUGGUGUGAGAGUACGACCAGCCACCCUGGGACUGAGACACGGCCCAGACUCCUACGGUAGGCAGCAGUGGGGAAUUUUGGACAAUGGGGGCAACCCUGAUCCAGCCAUGCCGCGUGCGGGAAGAAGGCCUUCGGGUUGUAAACCGCUUUUGUCAGGGAAGAAAUCCUUUGAACUAAUACUUCGGAGGGAUGACGGUACCUGAAGAAUAAGCACCGGCUAACUACGUGCCAGCCGCCGCAGUAA